RNAcentral lists this ribosomal RNA (499 nucleotides) under Dialister invisus. RNAcentral's name for it is "bacterial SSU rRNA". It matches the Rfam family "Bacterial small subunit ribosomal RNA", at positions 9 to 474 of the family's 1533-position model. The record is from RNAcentral. Lineage: Bacteria; Bacillati; Bacillota; Negativicutes; Veillonellales; Veillonellaceae.
GAGUUUGAUUAUGGCUCAGGACGAACGCUGGCGGCGUGCUUAACACAUGCAAGUCGAACGAAAAGACGGAAAGAGCUUGCUCUUUUCAGAAUUGAGUGGCAAACGGGUGAGUAACACGUAAACAACCUGCCUUCAGGAUGGGGACAACAGACGGAAACGACUGCUAAUACCGAAUAAGUUCCAAGAGCCGCAUGGCCCAUGGAAGAAAAGGUGGCCUCUACCUGUAAGCUAUCGCCUGAAGAGGGGUUUGCGUCUGAUUAGCUGGUUGGAGGGGUGACGGCCCACCAAGGCGACGAUCAGUAGCCGGUCUGAGAGGAUGAACGGCCACACUGGAACUGAGACACGGUCCAGACUCCUACGGGAGGCAGCAGUGGGGAAUCUUCCGCAAUGGGCGAAAGCCUGACGGAGCAACGCCGCGUGAGUGAUGACGGCCUUCGGGUUGUAAAACUCUGUGAUCCGGGACGAAAAGGCAGAGUGCGAAGAACAAACUGCAUUGACG